RNAcentral lists this long non-coding RNA (1485 nucleotides) under Malus domestica (apple). RNAcentral describes it as "long non-coding RNA (MDOM_LNC019878)". The record is from RNAcentral. Lineage: Eukaryota; Viridiplantae; Streptophyta; Magnoliopsida; Rosales; Rosaceae.
UUGAAUUUACAUGUGUAUUAUGAUCAUAAUCAUUUAUAUUAUCCUACAACUAAAGCCGUAUAAGUGUGAUAAUAUAAUUGCAAAUUUUUAUAAUCUGUUUUCACAGUGCUUUGAAAGUCCAAUCAUUGUAGUUUUCAUGCCGUUGAAUUUUCUGGGAAAGGCUAACCAUACCCUUCGUUGAUUGCAUCUUUGAUUCUCUCCAAUAUAUUCCUUUUACUUAUGCUGUUAAUAAUUUGCCUCUCUGCAUUUUUAUUUUUAUUUUUUAUUAUUUGGGUCGUGUCACUGAAAGCCUGGGAAGGCUAACCUUUCCCUUCUGUUCAUGAUCGUGCCUUUCUUUCAUUAUUUUUUUACUUUAUGCAUUUUUAUUUUAUUCAAUACCAAAACACUUUUGGAUACAGUUUCUAAAUGACACAGCUGAUCAAUUUAAAAUACCAGUUUAUAACCCACAAAAAACCAGCGUGAUCUGAAACGUUUUAUACAAUUCGUGAACUGUGUGUGUGCGCCCAUCUUUAUCCAUUCAGAUAUUUUGACCCGUCCAAACCAUUUAUUUACGCAUAGGUCAACCAUACCUUUCAUUAUUAAUUGAUCUGUGGUUAUUGUACAGUGGUAUAGUUUAUCCUAUAUUUGUCAAAACUUUUGAGUGACAAACUUGUUUUAAUUUCUACAGUGUUGUAGCAAUCUUAUUUCUCUCUCACUUAGCAUUGUGGUUUAAACGAUUGAGAUUAGGGGUUUGCUCUAGAAUUAUCUGGGAAAAAAUUUUCUAAACUCAUCAGUUUUCUUGCCUGGUAAAUAUAGGCAUCAAAUGCCAACAAGAAUAAUGUAGUCUUGCAGAUCCUUCCUAGUACUAUAAAAUCCAUAUAUUAUUUGCUAAAUUUCGUUGUGAAUUGAUUGAGUUAUGAUCAUGUUAAACAAUGACUUAGAAUCUAAAAAUUCUGGACGAAAACAUGUUAAUUUGGGUUAAUUUGGGUUUCAGAUUCUAUAUCGUCAAAAGGGAAAAGUUAUGCUCUAUGCAGUUUUCUAUAUAUGCAUAUUGGUUUACCUAUAUGCAUAUAUUGCAUAUUUGAAUCUCUGCAUUUUUUCCGUAAAUAUUAUCACUACAGUCACAAUUUUUUGAAUAAAUGUGUUGUUAAUUGGUACCUAUAUGCAUAUCUACAAACGCAGAAAACGUUUUAAUUGCAUGGAUUUGUUUACUGUACAUUUUAUAAACACCUUACUUGUUUAAUUUUCCAAUUUGCAUUUGUAUGGCUUGAAUUCUAUGAGGAAAUAAUGUAUAUAUUUGUAUAGCACACAAUAACCAAUUGAUGUGAUUGCUUCUUCUUUCAACGAUCUUCUGAAGAUAGGUUUUCAAUAUUAAUUCUUGUUACGAUUAUAUGUGUUUGCAGACAUUGUCUCUAAACAUUCUCAUUAUUCUUCGAAUAAAAACCGAAUAUGCAUGAGUCUGCAUAUAUAAUUUUGUCUUGAAACAAAUUAAAUGUGCAUUGUGUU